Molecule: long non-coding RNA, 3457 nt
Organism: Lycium ferocissimum
Lineage: Eukaryota; Viridiplantae; Streptophyta; Magnoliopsida; Solanales; Solanaceae
Exons: 2
Source: RefSeq, a predicted model, not a curated record
AGAGGUACGUGUGAUAUAUGAACCGUUUUAUUUAACUUUUUUUUUUUUAUAAUUAUUUUUAUAGUAGCUAUAUAAUAAGUGAAGGUUUUUGGUCGUCCAGAGGUAUUUCCGUAAAUAUCCAUUGUUUAUUGUUGCAUUAUGUUUCAACCUGCAGGAUAAACACGUGUGCUCCAAACUGCAGACACGUACCUCUUCAAACUCUUUCUCGUUCUCCAUCUACCUCUGUGCUAUUCUCUCCUUAACACAGAGGAGUGCUCUGUAGACUAUUGGUGAAAAGAGUUCCGAGGUUUGUUCUUCUCAGAUUUUUGUUUCAGAUGUCAUUGCUUUGAUAUUGUCUUUGCCCUUUAGUCGAAAAGCCAGGCAGAAUGGGAGAGUUUUUGCCAUCAAAAGUUAUAAAAAAAAAGAAACUGCGAGCCACUGAAGAAAAUGAUGAAGAAGAAUUGAAGCCAUGUUUGCCGCUUCUUCUGAAAUGGAAAAGAUAAGAAUUUUUUUUGAAUCUACGGGGAGUUCCCGUUAGUUUGAUGAUAUUGUGCUUACUUUUGUUUACUUUCUCUUUAUUACAAUAUGUUCUUAUAAUUUCUGGUCAAUUUAGAUAUUGUUUCGUUAAUUUGCAUCGAAUUUUUGUUAUUUGUUGAUGGGUUUUUUUUUUCAUAGUUAAUGGGUUUUCAAUGAGAUGCUAAAACUGUUGUUAAUGAGUAUUUGUGGGGAUCUUAAAUUACUAAUUUCUUAGAUGUUUUCUUACAUUGUGCAUGCAUGUUUGAAAUUUUCCUACAUAGGUAUAAACAUGCUCUGCCACAUUGAAUUUCCAUAUCGGAGAAAAAAAACGAGAAGAAAUUAAACUUAUAGAAGAGCUUUGAUGCAGCUAAGAUGUUUGAAAAUAUUACUUAAUUAGCUUAAACCAUGUAAUUCUGGUGAGUUGAAUUUGACUUUUUUAGGUAUGAUUUUCUACUGGAUAUUCGCACUGCUCUUCAUUUUCUUUAAUGUUAGUUAUGGCUCACGAGCUAUUAUCUAAUCCUCUGCUCUGUGUCUGGUCAUGCUAUUUUGUUGUUAAAUCUAUAGCUUAAUGACAAAUAUAAUAGGAAAAAACAGUGAAAACACUAUGAGCAAGCCCUACAUAUAAUUAUAUGCAGUGUUGCUUUGAUCCACUUCUCUUAACCUUCUUGAUAUCCGAUGUCAGGCAGUAAAAAUUUGUACAUAUUUGGCUUUUCUUGCCUGAAUAUGAUGAUCCACUGGUGUGUCUGUUAUAUUCACCAGAUUUUGUUAUUUGGUAUAGUCGAGGUGCAUGUACAAACCCCAAGCAGCAUGAGAUGAAGAAUUUGCCAGAAAGUGAUAAUGUUUUUUCUGAUGUAGAGUGAUCUUCGCGGCCAAGGUCUGUCCUUCCUUUUUUUUGGUGUUAUCUUUAUCACUUUCUCUCAAUCAAGACAAUUAUUGGACAAACAUAUUGAUAUAGACACUUUCGGAGAACAACAAUUGCCCAGUGAAGUCCCAUGUGGUAAGAAAUUGUUGAUUGUGCUACACAAACGAAGAUAUUUUUGCAUUAUGUUCUAACAUAUAGUUGUUCUUUUAAACAUGAGGCAGUUGCAUCUUGUGUAUCCUUAUUUUAGGGGCGGUAAAUUCUUACAAUUAUCAGCCCUACUGUCUUCUUGAUAGGGCUUGCAAUGUCAGUUGCUCUUGUGGCGUCGUUGCAACUUUAUACAAAUUUUGCGCGAUUCUUCUUAGUUAUAACCCAAUCAAGAAGGUAUCUCAAGUUAGAGACCGAGAAAUCUCAAACUCCUCAUUCUUGAAAGCCAUAUGUACAAUUUUCACUCCAGUUCAUCACUCUGCAAGAUGAUAUGCAUCAACCACUUUAUUUACCUAGAAACAGGGGCGCCUUUUCUUCGGCCUGCAAAGUGCCGUUUUUAUGAAUAAGUUGAGACUUGAAAGUUGAAUGUAAAUUACUCUGGACAUCAAGCUACAAAAAUGAACAACAGUGUCAGGCAUAUCCCGUGCUUUACUUUAGAUUGCAUGGACUGCUUUAGAACUUCAUACUACAAAAGUAUUGCUUGAAAACUUAAAUUGGUGAACAAAGUUGAAUCCUGCGGGGUUAUGUCAGAAUGUUGGGCAUAUAUUCUUUGCCUAUUCGAGGUAUUUAUAGAUGCUAUGUAAAACUGCGUAUGGUUAUUUUCUAAUUUGCGUUUGUUUUGUUAGGAAACAAAGUAGGACUUGGAACUGGAGUGGUGUGAAUUGGGGAGAAAAUCAUAAACAAGAUUUAUAUUCCAAGCAGCACAGUUCAACAUAAGAUAACUUGGCCAAGAUUAAUCUAUUUGAGAAAGGAGAGAAACAGAAGAUUCUUUGCAGGUUCACGAAUUUUUCUAUGUAUUAGUUGAAGAACAUAAAAGGCUUAUUUCUCACUUGGAAGAUAUGUUUACACACUCCAGAGCCUUUCUUGGAUGGUUGUGGUAUGAUGUUCUUACAUUACUCUCAUAAUGGUAUUUUGUUCCUGCUCCGUUGAAAAGUAAUCUAAACUGUGCUCUUUUAAGAAAUCAAUCUAUUUUCUUGACAAAAAAGAAGGCAUCAAUCUAUUAAUAAAUUGCUGCCCAUAAACCAAAACUCAGAGAGAGAACUGAUUAAUUUAUCAUGAUAUUGGAGAUGAAUGAGUACAAUAUAUAGAUUUAUAGAGACAAUUCUAAUGUGGUGUCUUGCUAGUUAGAUGUACAAAAACCCUGCAGCGUAUAAAAGUACAGAUAAACAAUAAGGGGAUUAAUGGAUAAAUUACUUCCCAAAAUUUUCCUGAAGUAGUAAAGACAAUAAAGAGCUACCUGAUCAUCUGUAAAUAUACCACCAGUAUAUGUAGUACCAAUAUAACUGGGUAAGAAUCUCUAUAGUUGACCACUCCUUAAGUUAAUUUCUCCCUUUUCAACUACGUGAGAUACUAAUUAAUGCAAAAAACGAGCCUAUUGGUAAGUCAUCUUUUCAAUACCAUUCAACUUGAUCCUUCUGUAAUUGAAGCGCGUUAUGGAUGGAAAAUCAACAUUCAUGAGAAGAAAUUGCUAAUUCUAUCAUUCUCUUCAUUUUAUGGAACAACUUAGUUUUUCUGAGAUGCUAAGACUUUCUGCCUGCAGAAGGCAUCCCAUUUCCUUUUAUCCUUAUUGUACUUCAAUACUAUCUUGCAGAAGAUGAUUGCUUAAGUUAAUUUAAAUUUGCAGGCUUUCCUAACUUUUGCAUGCUUACUACAUAACACCAAUUUUGAUGUUUACCUUUCUUUUUUUUUAGUAGAUACCCAGAUGAAAUGUGUUGGCAGCUGUCAAAAUUCAGAGUUCAUGCAAUUGUAACACUGCUUAUACAUAAGUUGGACCACCUGCAUGGUCAUGAAAACCCGUAAUAUUUUUGUCUUUAUAGCACGUUCAAAAAUGUAAUUGUAUGACUUUGUUCCACAAAUUAAUGUAUUACGUCAAUACUUCAGUUUGACAUUUCCUUU